GACCCCGCCUCACAUGGGCAAGAUGGCGGCGCCCAGAGCCGUCAACGUGCUGCGGAGCGGAGUGGUGAAGGCUCAUAUCCAUAAGGAAAUUUCAGUUUGACUGGACUCUUGGAAUCUGAGCAUCAGCUGAACUCUGGGAAGAGCUGCAACAUUUGGCCUUCAGAGUCUCCUGUUUGUUUUAUGUCCAACAGCUGUCAAAACCUUCACUCUUCCACAUGUGUGGAAGUGUGUGGAAUGAAUGGAAUCACACUUUUUAGUAUAUAAUACCAUGCAAACAAUGAUUUUUUUGGUUUAAAUCUCAAAUGAAUUGAAAUUUAGUGUGCA
This is a long non-coding RNA of Harpia harpyja (harpy eagle), 324 nucleotides long. RefSeq lists it as uncharacterized. The transcript is spliced from 2 exons. NCBI's taxonomy places the organism in Eukaryota, Metazoa, Chordata, Aves, Accipitriformes, Accipitridae. The record is from RefSeq and is a predicted model, not a curated record.